RNAcentral lists this unclassified non-coding RNA (9223 nucleotides) under Neodiprion pinetum (white pine sawfly). RNAcentral describes it as "neurabin-1, transcript variant X5". Lineage: Eukaryota; Metazoa; Arthropoda; Insecta; Hymenoptera; Diprionidae. The record is from RNAcentral.
AUGGCUGCAGUUGAUGACAAGAAACGCCAUGGAGGCUCAAAAGUGUCGGCAAUUGCAAAUAUAUUCCAGUCAAAACCACAACUAGAAAACCUUAGUCACAGAACAAAUGUUGUUUUAUCGGAUCCCAUGAAAGAUCCUCCAGCACCGUUGAAAGAUUCUCCUACGCAAGUAACCGUUGUACGAACAGAGAGUCACGUUGCUCGAUUUAAUAAUGCAAGGGCUUUAUUUGAGAAACUUGGAGAGGAAAACAAGCCACAUCGUCCAGUGGAUCGAGUAAUGAAACCAACAAAUUUACACGGACUUCGCUCACGUUCAAGUUCGGCUAAUUCUGGUUCCGGUUGUACAUCUCCUGCUCGGUCGCCCAGACCUAGGUCACCAUCGCCAACAGGUACAAGAGAUCAUUUAAGUAAUUGGAGUGCAAGUGUACCUGCUUUGAAUGCAGAGCGUCAUUUUGAGAAUGGGCAUAGUCAUGGCCCUGAAGCAGUCGUAGAUAGAUUAAGACCUAGACCAGGUUUUGGAAGACCUGAUAAAUUUGAGAAGAAUUAUGGAAAAGAAAAUCGAAUGGAUGAGAGACCGGAGAAGCCAGAAAAACCAGAGAGGAGAUUGAAUUCUAAAGAGUUAAUUGAGAAGCAAAAAAACUGGACCAGCCAUUUCUCUAAAACGAGGCCAAGCAGAUAUAAUUCUGAUCCGAAUAGAUCAAUAGUUCAAACUACUUUAAAUCAAAGUUUAAACAGGUCUACUGGCGAAAAUGCCACCUCAGUAUACUCUCCUGGCUUGCCAGCUCAUGAUAAAGAUUCGAGGGGAACAACAGAUGUCACUAAUAAUCUUGCGACAAGAUCGGCUAGUUUUUGUUCUACGAGACCAUCACCAAAUAUGUCUCCACCUCCGCCACCCCCUCCGGCCAGAAUUUCGUCUACAAAUAGCAUUUGUUCAGGAAUCUCCAGAAAAGAACGACCUGCUAGUGUAGCUGCCAUUAGUCCUACUACUCCUGAAUUUCUUUCUAGUCCUAAAAGUCCAGAGUAUGCAACGGUAAAUAAAAAUUUUGAUGUGUUUUCAAACACUCCUGACUAUGCAGUUGUACAGAAGGGUCCAAUUGUACAAGCUUCAAAGGUCUCAAGCCUUGCAAGUAUGCAAAAAGAUCAAGAAACCUCCUUACCUGAAUAUGCUGUAGUGCAGAAGAAUGUAUCGGGCAGAGUUGUCCAAAAAAAUUCGAUGCCCUUAAAAGUUGAAAACGUUAAAGUAUCAAAAAUUCUUGGACAUUUGGAUAAUAAACAUAACACUUUUAAAAGUGGUACAGUUUCCGAAAGUUUUGAGAACCAGUCCAGCGUCAAAUCUAAUUUAGGUCCAGGGAAAAUGCAACAAAAUACAAAUUAUGUUUUAACUGACAGCUCAGGUUUUGAUCAAUUGCCUACUCCGGAUUAUUCUAAUUAUCCAAACUGUCCAUUAAGAUCUCCUCCUAAGACAUCAGAAUGGAAAAAUCAAUGGCUUGCCAAAAAUGAAGAAAUUUUAAAAAAUGCUGAUCUGAAUUCACAACCAUCGAAAGAAACUUUGAAUGAAAGUGUGAAGUAUGCAGAAAAUCAUCGGUCAGAUUCAAGACCAAACUGGGCAAAACCAAGCGUUGAUACAGUGAAACAAAAGGAAGAAAUCAAUAGAUCUAAAACGGUAGACAUAUCAAAGUCACCUGAUAUCGAGCUUCGACCACCUUCAGCUUGCACAGACAGUACUUCAUCGGGCAUGAGUUCGCCCAGUUCUCCUUCAAAAGACAGUAAAGAAGAAAAAGCUGAUAAGGAGGUGCUAGAAAAGAAUCAAAAAGGACGUAACAGCUAUGACCUAGAAAUAGAGGAUUCGCAUAAACCAACUAUAUACACGGAGAAAACAGUAGAUCAUGAAUUCAGCCCAGAGAAACCAUUUAGUGAAACGGAUACAGCGACAGUUAUUCGAAGGUCUCAUCUUCGAGUGGACUUGCCUGCCGCUGGUUUGGGACAACGCCCACCUUCGGUUGUUAGUUCAGAUCAAGAAUACCCUCCAUUGGAACACAAAGAUAUACCAAUUCCGUCACCAUAUGCAAAAAGAUUACAGCAUGCACAAAUCUCUGAGUCUACGACACAAAGUAAACAAGGUCAUCAAUCGAAAGCGCAGAAUAUCGAACAAGGAAAAGGAGGAGCGCCACAACAAGACACGCUUUAUAAAUUUCAAGAAACAGCAGCUAAUCAGAGUUCUUCGCUGCAAUCUGCUAUAUUAAAGUCGCCAAAUUUAAUCGAUAGCCUAUCUCAAAUUCCGAAACCGGAAAUACCAUUAUAUGCUACAAAUGAUCAAUUAAACUUUUCCAAGCAGGAAGCACUGACUGACAACAAGGAAAUAUCUGACGCAACUAAUAGUGUCACAGAUCCAAAGUCUAUGCAGCAUAAAACGGUUAAUUUGGAAAAAUCCGUGACAAGUACAAAUCAAUCUCUGAAGGCUUCUACCAAUCAAGAUAAGAAUUAUUCAAAUGGCACAAAAUCAAUGACAGACUUCAUUAAUUCCGCUACUAAGGAUAGUUUUAACGAAAACGAAACAAUUUCUAUCACUCCUACAGCUAAUACUACUACUACCACCACUACUACUACUACCAAUACCUCUAAGAUCAGAUCCGAUAUACAUGCUGCGAAAAAUUCUAAUUUGGAAGGCGCAAAUAAGACUUCGAAUACGUCAAAAGUCGAUGGACUUGGGCAAUCACAAACAACAUGGGAGCAAGAGAAAUUAAAGGCUGAUCAAAUUGCUGCUACAAAGUUGCAACAUAUGACUUCAAAUAAAUUUUUAUUAAAAUCCCAAGUUGUUGAAUCAACUGACAACUACCAGGAGGAACAUGUCUCAAGUUCGCAUGAAAGUAAAUCAGCCAGUGAUGAUAAAGUAUCUGAAAGUAGUUUGCAAGAGGACAGCGACUCCAGUGAUGCUAAAACCAUAACAAAUAUGGAAAGUCUUUCACCCCAUGCGAAGCAGAAUAUGAACGGCCAAGAUGCAACAUCAAUCAGACCCCGAGCUAGUCAAACAACUCCAGUAACUCCAGACACAAUGACUGCAGACGAAGCUGAAAAUCUCCUGAGCUCUCGCAUAUUGGAAAAGAAAAUUAGACAAGGAUCGGCUUUGCUAUCGGACGAGGAAGCUCAAGAAAUAGCCAGACUGUUGUCACCUACAACAACUACUGCAACACCUGGUGAUAAAGAUAGGGAGGUAGACAGAGACAAUGAAAGAGAUAGAGAGGAACAAGACAACACCCCAGACUGGCUUUCCGAUGUUCUUUCUGCUCCUGAUUCCAGCCUAGUUAACAGUACCACUCACGAUUACAGUUUGUCUAAUAGGUCACGAAGUGAUCUGACGAUAGACUCCUUGACCGAAAGCCAAAUAGGCUCAGUGACAGGAAGUGAGAGCGAAUUGCUGGGAUCUGUCAGCAGCUUGAAUGACACGCAAGAAACUAAUGAUGAUACAGAAACUGAACACCAAGACGAUUAUACACCUGUGCCUGGAAAAAUUAUUUUAGUCGAAAAUGGAGUACAUUAUUACGAAGAUGGUCACUUUUGGAUGGAAGUUGCUGGUCUUCCUGAUUCAGACGAAGAUGACGAAGAUUUACUUCCGACAGUUAUACCUGCGAAGAAAACCAAUAUGAAAGUUUCCUUUGAUACAGGGCCAAUGCGGGUUUACUCGACACACUCGGUCAAUGAGUACGAUCGACGCAACGAAGAUGUUGACCCUGUUGCUGCAAGUGCAGAGUAUGAGCUUGAGAAACGUGUUGAAAAAAUGGAGGUUUUCCCAGUUGAGCUAAUGAAAGGGCCAGAGGGACUUGGCUUGAGUAUAAUUGGAAUGGGUGUUGGUGCCGAUGCAGGCCUUGAAAAACUUGGUAUUUUUGUGAAGACGAUUACCGAAAAGGGUGCUGCUGCUCGGGAAGGUCGUAUUCAGGUUAAUGAUCAGAUUGUUGAGGUGGAUGGCAAAUCUCUGAUUGGUGUGACCCAAGCUUAUGCUGCAAGUGUUCUGCGCAAUACCUCAGGUCUAGUACGUUUUCUAAUUGGCAGAGAACGGGACCCUCGUAAUUCUGAAGUGGCCAUGCUCAUUCGGCAGAGCUUGCAGGCUGACCGAGAGCGUGAAGAAGCCAAUGGAUCUGCAACAAGAAGACUAAAUUUUUCGGACGGAACUUCGCCGGAUAGCCAACGAGUUGGUAUGGGUGAAGAAAACUCCUCGAUGAGUGGUUUGGGUGGAGGCAUACCUGGCUCUCCUACCAUGUCAUCUUGCUCGGAGGGCGAACCUCCAGCCAGCCCGAUUGAUGCAUAUUCGUCACCGGCUAGUCGAAGUCGGUCACCCAUCAUUAGUUCAUCUUUACCAUUGCCUUCUACUAUUCCAACAACGACGACACAGAGUGAUGUAGACAGUCUGCGAAUUCUCCUACAGGAGAGUCAGUAUAAGCUUGCCUUAGCCGACGGAGAGGUGGAAAACCUCAAAACAAAGUUGGUAGAGCUGGAGAAUACUGGAGCAGGGAGCGAAGAAUAUGCUGCAAAAUUACGUGAAUCUGGGUUGCGAUUACACGAAUCGGAGCGUGCUCUGAGUAUAGCACGUCAAGAUUUAGCAUCUGUCCGUGAAAUGCUCUCUCAAGCAACAGCUCAAAAUGCAACUAUUCAACAAAAAUAUGCACGGGCAAGACGGGCUGCCCGAGAACUCAGAGCUGAUGUUAUUGCACGAGAUGAGUUUUAUCAACAGCUUUUACAUGAGAAAGAUGCAGAGUAUAACUCAUUAGUGAAAUGCCUGAAAGACAGGGUAAUAGCAUUAGAAAUGGAAUUGACUGAAACUCAAAGGAGAUUCGGACUUCCAGUACGAUUGCCAUACGAUGGUGCAACAGCACGCAUUGUAACACCCCAGCCAACAAGACGCCAAAUGCCACCUCCACCUUCUGCUGCAAGUUGUCAAUUAUCAGAUACAGAGGUUUCUGAUCUUAGCAGUCCUGAUGAUGGAGACAAAACAGCUACUGUGGAACGCAAACUACCCUUGCCAUUACCGGUCAAAGAAGAACUCGAUCGAGCUGUGCCAGCUCAUCGUCUUCUUGAUAAUUCAGCAGGUAAAAGUAAAGCUGAACUUGCUAGUCGAGGUGGACUCGCAAAUCGUCAACUUCCCAAACGACCUGGUGGUCUCAGCAAUAGCAGCUCAGACUAUGGCUUAGAUGAGUCUGGUGAUAAUACAGAUGAAGACUUAUCUUCAAAGAAUACUAGUGCUCAUGACGGAAUAACUCGUUCUGCUAAUGAUUUGUCACGACCUUCAAACUUGAGUUCCUAUUCGAGCAGCUCAUCGAUCAGUUCACAAAAAAGUAAGCAACACUUGGAGUCAACUACAUCUGUGCGCCAACAUAGUACAAUUAGCUCGCAAGUUAGAGCUAUGACUGAACAAAGCUGGCCCCCUCCACAGAAAGGUCUUUCAGGCCCUCCUGCAUCAUUAGCAGAGCAAUUAAAACAAGUCUUAGCUGAAAGAGAGCGCAGGCUAGGUGGAAAUGAUAUGUCAUCUUCAAGAGAAAGUUCUGGGGAUUUCACGGACUUAAAUAAUCCUCAGUCCAGUGAUCCGACACUUGUGACACAUCAUUUGGUGGAGGAAAUUCGACAGGCUGUGAAUGAAGCAAGUCAAAGAGUUAAAAAAGUAGCAGUUCCUCCGCAGAACUUGAUUGGUAGUGGGAACGCACCCUGGCACCAUCCAGGUGGAUCUCCAUCAAGUCUUUCGUCAGGAGGUUCUAUUAGUCCACCUGGAGCUGAUCCGAGUCCAUCAAAAACUGGUAGCGCAGAUUCAAGUGAAGUUUGGCUUCCUCCUCAUCCCAGUGAUUUUGGCUUGGGAGAUAAAAAAACAUCCCACUUUUGGCAAAAUGCUCCUAUCACUGAUUGGUCUAAAGAACAAGUGUGCCAAUGGUUGUCAGCAAUGGGUCUCGAACGUUAUGCCCCACGUUUUGUUGAUGCUGGAAUAGCAGGAGGGGGUCUCUUAAGACUCGAAUCACGCGAUUUGAAAGCUCUUGGUGUCGCAGGAGAGGAAAAAGCACGACUGAAACGAAAAUUGAAAGAAUUGCGAGCGCAAGCCGAACGUGAGCGUAAGGAGCGCAAGGAGUUAGAACGGAUGCGACGCAAAGCUGAAAAGGCAGCUAAGAAGAAGUAAUUGUAGUAGACAGUCCUGAUAGAGAUUCCUACUUUUAUACAACUCAAAAGGCAAUAAGGAGUACGAAUUUUUAAAAUAAAUUCUGAAUAAAAACUCAGGCAGUCAAACCGGUGGGCGAUGAAAAAAAAAUAGAUGUGUCGUCUGAAGGCAAUUAUCAAAGAAGAUUGCUUAUGCUGUUCAGUAUUAAAAGUAUUAAUAUUGUGAUCAUUACGCAUCAAACUAAGUACUCAAAUCCUAUUAAAAAUUGAUGACACGUAGCACGGCAAAGGUAAAGAAAGUAAUUAUAGAAUGUUACUAUGUAACUGAUAUAAUUUAAAGGCAUAGAAAGUCAAAUAAAUUUGGAGCUUGAUCCAUCAAACACAAAUCUAAAAGUUAAUGAGUUUUAACCUUCCGGUACGAAAUUUAGCCAUUGGACAACAUUGUUUAGCUAUGAUUGGAUCAUUAAUUAUAUGUAGUCUGAAUAUAUAAUACUUCAGAUCCAACAACUCAUCAUUGAUUCAAUAUUUCUGUACAUCGACACUGCAAUAGUCAGACAUGUUUACUGAUUUGUAUACUUUGAUGUUUAAAAAAAGACGUACAAGUUAGCCCAUCUAUCAAUUUGAGUUAAGACUCGUGUGUUUAUUUUUAAGCAGCGGCAUACUUUCAUUACUUUGGAUCAUACACGGUGCUGGUUGAUUCUUCCUUCCAACUAAUUUAGGUGGUAGACUCAUAACGCAUAAAUUCUCAUUUUUAUGAGGCACAAAAAAUGCUGUAGCUGCAAAAACCUACAUCAUAAUGGUAGAAAAAGAAUAAUAGGUACUACUACAAUGGAUGAAUUCACGAUUAAUGUAAAAAAUCGCAUCAAAGCAGGAGUACUUUUAUAAUUGCUUACUUGCAUGUAAUAAAGUUACAUUACUUUUUUCAGCUUCGACAAACAGUAGGAUAAUCCAUUUUUUGGUUGAAACUCUUCAAAAGUGUAAACUGCCAAAUUUUUACAGCUUUUUCUAUAUAAUUAGCAUGUUGCACUUUAUGAAAAAAUGGUUAUUUUCGUAUUUUUGUAUUAGUUUACUUUUAUUAUUAGUGGUUAUUGUUAUUCAAUAACCAGAAUUGAACCUGACUACGUGAAUUGUUAUCGCGUUGGUAUGUAUGGUAUGAAGGCAUGUUUCAUUGUGUGUACGUACGUAUGGUUUGUAUGUAUGCAUUAGUAGUUCAAAAGUGUAAUAAAGUAAAUGUUUCUUACAUUUUUUCGUGACUGUACUUAUGUCUUGGAGUCGAGACAGUAAGUAGCACGUUAUCGAAAUAAAUAUUUGUUUUUAAAUAUUUAUUUUAAUAUUUUCACGCAUUACCUUAUAUCACUAUUCUAUAGCGUAUCUACCGUUAUAGCUCGAUAUGUUUGAAUUAAUAGUUGUCGUUUCACAUUAUAUACACUAUCAACGAAGUUUUUUAAUACCGACACAUUUAAUCACAUAAUUAUAGUCUAAAAUAUGGGCAUGACCUAUACAUUUUCUUCAUGGAGUUUUGCUCAAAAUGUAUUUCAUAUCAACGACUGGUCAUAUUUUCAACAAUCCAAUUAUCAAGCUUAUAUAAGAAACCCUUUUCAAUGUGCAGUGUGUCAUAUAGUCAUAUAUUUUGAAAAACAAUAUUUCUUCACUACCUUAGGUAACGGGUUGUACCUGUACCAUUUUGUACAGUAUUUCGAUCAGCAAGACUUGCCACUUUUGAUAAUUGUAUUUUCUUAUGUUGAUUAUUUCAUCAGAUUUUUCGUACAUCAUCAAAAUUCUUUGCUUCUGUAAUCAUAAAGUUAUAACUAGAGCAAAACUGAUAUAUUAUGUUUUGUACUUAAUUAUAUGUUGUAUAAAAAAAUUUCUUGAAUGGGUUAAUAGACUGUAAAUAUUUGGUUUUAAGAUUAGUUAUAGAAUUGCUGAUUUUAUUAUUUUAAAACAUAUCAGACAUUAGACAGACACAUAUUCGAAACUUGUUCUGUGUCAUGAAAUUCUUACUAUGAAAUGAGAUUACACAAUCUGUACAAUUUUACCUGUUGUGACUCUCAUUUUGUUUUAUGCAAUUUACAUACGAAGAAAUGUAUACGGAUGUGCGUGUACUUAUUUAUAAUAAUUCUAAGAUUUAUGUUCAGCAUUACAAAGUGUUUUGACUUUGAGUUUGAUUGGUCGAUGCUGCGUACUGGACAACGUUUUUAAACUUAAGUGUAAGGUAUUAAGAAUAACACAGACGGAAUAAAACGGCAUUAUAUUAAUUGGGAAACACUUUGUAUAUACAUUAUAUAAUAAUAUCUCUAAUUAUAAGUAUUGACGUUAACGAUAAAUCUUAUGAUUUAUCGAGGUAAAAGUAAAACAUCAUAAUUGUAGUGUCAUAAUACUUCAUAACAUAACAUAAGUUAAUUAAUGCAGGUGUUAACUAAACUUACCAAUUUCGUAUCAAUGCGUUUAAAGUUUGAACCAAGAUAAUCAGAAAGAUUUGUACUAUUGCUUUUAUUGAACAUUUGUUCAAAUUACUGAAGAGAUGAAUUAAGCAAGAUCGAAAAGUGCCAAAAAUUUUGUGCUAUAAGCGUUUCGUAUUUAUUUACUGAGAAUCAUAGGUUUUUUCUUCUGAAAACUAUUGUAUUCCACAUCUCGCUACAAAUGAGAGACAUUUCUUUAUCAUUUGGAUUCUUGUUAAUUCAACUCUUUGGCUGAAGAUUCUAGAUAUCAGUAAUGUAAUAAUGGGUUCACUACCACCACGUAGCUAAAACUGACUGAUUUAAAAAUAAGUUUUAUAGCUCACUUUUUAAUAGAAAUUAUGUGUGUAACUUUGUAGGUAAUACCGAAAAUAUCACGUGAAAAAUAUUAGCAGUAGUAUGACAGGCGAAACCAUUUACAAAAAUUGCAUGAUUUCUGAAUAUUUUGGUCAGUUUUAUGAGAUUUAAAUUAUCGUCAGUAGAAUAACGGUAGCAAUCUCAGAAUUGAAAGGCUGCUUAAAAUGAUCAGAUAACUGGUAAUUGCAAGUGUUUUAUUAUAAAGAAAAAAAAAAAAAUGAAAUAUUGUCAAAUACUCUAGAAGAUUUUAAAUAAAAACAGACAAUUCGUACACUAUAA